This 250-nucleotide ribosomal RNA is filed under the name uncultured bacterium. RNAcentral's name for it is "partial 16S ribosomal RNA". It matches the Rfam family "Bacterial small subunit ribosomal RNA", at positions 524 to 773 of the family's 1533-position model. The record is from RNAcentral.
GACGGAGGGGGCUAGCGUUGUUCGGAAUUACUGGGCGUAAAGAGCGCGUAGGCGGCAUGGCAAGUUGGAAGUGAAAUCCCGGGGCUUAACCUCGGAACUGCUUUCAAAACUGCUGAGCUAGAGUAUGGUAGAGGGUGAUAGAAUUCCUAGUGUAGAGGUGAAAUUCUUAGAUAUUAGGAGGAAUACCGGUGGCGAAGGCGGUCACCUGGGCCAUUACUGACGCUGAGGCGCGAAAGCGUGGGGAGCAAAC